AGUCCCAGUUCGGAUUGAAGGCUGAAAUUCGCCUUCAUGAAGCCGGAAUUGCUAGUAAUGGCAGGUCAGCAUACUGCCGUGAAUACGUUCCCGGGCCUUGUACACACCGCCCGUCACACCAUGAGAGUUGGGAAUACCCGAAGCCUGUGAGCUAACUUUUAGAGGCAGCAAUCGAAGGUAGAAUCAAUGAUUGGGGUGAAGUCGUAACAAGGUAUC
Molecule: ribosomal RNA, 216 nt
Filed under: uncultured bacterium
Lineage: Bacteria
Description: partial 16S ribosomal RNA
Rfam family: Bacterial small subunit ribosomal RNA
Source: RNAcentral